RNAcentral lists this ribosomal RNA (497 nucleotides) under uncultured bacterium. RNAcentral describes it as "partial 16S ribosomal RNA". It matches the Rfam family "Bacterial small subunit ribosomal RNA", at positions 28 to 507 of the family's 1533-position model. The record is from RNAcentral.
GAUGAACGCUGGCGGCGUGCCUAAUACAUGCAAGUCGAGCGAACAGACGAGGAGCUUGCUCCUCUGACGUUAGCGGCGGACGGGUGAGUAACACGUGGAUAACCUACCUAUAAGACUGGGAUAACUUCGGGAAACCGGAGCGAAUACCGGAUAAUAUAUUGAACCGCAUGGUUCAAUAGUGAAAGACGGUUUUGCUGUCACUUAUAGAUGGAUCCGCGCCGCAUUAGCUAGUUGGUAAGGUAACGGCUUACCAAGGCAACGAUGCGUAGCCGACCUGAGAGGGUGAUCGGCCACACUGGAACUGAGACACGGUCCAGACUCCUACGGGAGGCAGCAGUAGGGAAUCUUCCGCAAUGGGCGAAAGCCUGACGGAGCAACGCCGCGUGAGUGAUGAAGGUCUUCGGAUCGUAAAACUCUGUUAUUAGGGAAGAACAAAUGUGUAAGUAACUAUGCACGUCUUGACGGUACCUAAUCAGAAAGCCACGGCUAACUACGUG